This 491-nucleotide ribosomal RNA is filed under the name uncultured bacterium. RNAcentral's name for it is "partial 16S ribosomal RNA". It matches the Rfam family "Bacterial small subunit ribosomal RNA", at positions 29 to 507 of the family's 1533-position model. The record is from RNAcentral.
GUGAACGCUGGCGGUAGGCCUAACACAUGCAAGUCGCACGGCAGCACAGUAAGAGCUUGCUCUUACGGGUGGCGAGUGGCGGACGGGUGAGGAAUACAUCGGAAUCUACUUUUUCGUGGGGGAUAACGUAGGGAAACUUACGCUAAUACCGCAUACGACCUACGGGUGAAAGCAGGGGAUCUUCGGACCUUGCGCGAUUGAAUGAGCCGAUGUCGGAUUAGCUAGUUGGCGGGGUAAAGGCCCACCAAGGCGACGAUCCGUAGCUGGUCUGAGAGGAUGAUCAGCCACACUGGAACUGAGACACGGUCCAGACUCCUACGGGGGGCAGCAGUGGGGAAUAUUGGACAAUGGGCGCAAGCCUGAUCCAGCCAUACCGCGUGGGUGAAGAAGGCCUUCGGGUUGUAAAGCCCUUUUGUUGGGAAAGAAAAGCAGCAGGUUAAUACCCCGCUGUUCUGACGGUACCCAAAGAAUAAGCACCGGCUAACUUCGUG